This 467-nucleotide ribosomal RNA is filed under the name uncultured bacterium. RNAcentral describes it as "partial 16S ribosomal RNA". It matches the Rfam family "Bacterial small subunit ribosomal RNA", at positions 28 to 506 of the family's 1533-position model. The record is from RNAcentral.
GACAAACGCUGGCGGCGUGCUUAACACAUGCAAGUCGAACGGAAAGGCCCUGCUUUUGUGGGGUGCUCGAGUGGCGAACGGGUGAGUAACACGUGAGUAACCUGCCCUUGACUUUGGGAUAACUUCAGGAAACUGGGGCUAAUACCGGAUAGGAGCUCCUGCUGCAUGGUGGGGGUUGGAAAGUUUCGGCGGUUGGGGAUGGACUCGCGGCUUAUCAGCUUGUUGGUGGGGUAGUGGCUUACCAAGGCUUAGACGGGUAGCCGGCCUGAGAGGGUGACCGGCCACAUUGGGACUGAGAUACGGCCCAGACUCCUACGGGAGGCAGCAGUGGGGAAUAUUGCACAAUGGGCGGAAGCCUGAUGCAGCAACGCCGCGUGCGGGAUGACGGCCUUCGGGUUGUAAACCGCUUUCGCCUGUGACGAAGCGUGAGUGACGGUAAUGGGGAAAGAAGCACCGGCUAACUACGU